UAAGGUAACGGCUUACCAAGGCAAUGAUGCAUAGCCGAGUUGAGAGACUGAUCGGCCACAAUGGAACUGAGACACGGUCCAUACUCCUACGGGAGGCAGCAGUAGGGAAUCUUCCACAAUGGGCGCAAGCCUGAUGGAGCAACACCGCGUGAGUGAAGAAGGGUUUCGGCUCGUAAAGCUCUGUUGUUGGAGAAGAACGUGCGUGAGAGUAACUGUUCACGCAGUGACGGUAUCCAACCAGAAAGUCACGGCUAACUAC
RNAcentral lists this ribosomal RNA (259 nucleotides) under uncultured bacterium. RNAcentral describes it as "partial 16S ribosomal RNA". It matches the Rfam family "Bacterial small subunit ribosomal RNA", at positions 253 to 504 of the family's 1533-position model. The record is from RNAcentral.